This 468-nucleotide ribosomal RNA is filed under the name uncultured bacterium. RNAcentral describes it as "partial 16S ribosomal RNA". It matches the Rfam family "Bacterial small subunit ribosomal RNA", at positions 28 to 507 of the family's 1533-position model. The record is from RNAcentral.
GACGAACGCUGGCGGCGUGCUUAACACAUGCAAGUCGAACGGAAAGGCCCUGCUUUUGUGGGGUGCUCGAGUGGCGAACGGGUGAGUAACACGUGAGUAUCCUGCUCUUGACUUUGGGAUAACUUCAGGAAACUGGGGCUAAUACCGGAUAGGAGCUCCUGCUGCAUGUUGGGGGUUGGAAAGUUUCGGCGGUUGUGGAUGGACUCGCGGCUUAUCAGCUUGUUGGUGGGGUAGUGGCUUACCAAGGCUUUGACGGGUAGCCGGCAUGAGAGGGUGACCGGCCACAUUGGGACUGAGAUACGGCCCAGACUCCUACGGGAGGCAGCAGUGGGGAAUAUUGCACAAUGGGCGGAAGCCUGAUGCAGCAACGUCGCGUGCGGGAUGACGGCCUUCGGGUUGUAAACCGCUUUCGCCUGUGACGAAGCGUGAGUGACGGUAAUGGGUAAAGAAGCACCGGCUAACUACGUG